RNAcentral lists this long non-coding RNA (755 nucleotides) under Nicotiana tabacum (common tobacco). RNAcentral's name for it is "long non-coding RNA (NTAB_LNC012957)". Lineage: Eukaryota; Viridiplantae; Streptophyta; Magnoliopsida; Solanales; Solanaceae. The record is from RNAcentral.
UUUUCUUUAGUUAGCAUUAGGGUUUUAAACCUUAAACUGAACUCUUUCCUUUAGUCAGCAUUAGGGUUUUAAACCCUAAACUGAACUUUUCCAUUCAGUCAGCAUUGGGGUUUUAAACCCUAAACUGAACUUUUUCCUUCCAGUCAGCAUUAGGGUUUUAAACCCUAAACUGAACUCUUUCCUUUAGUCAGCAUUAGGGUUUUAAACCCUAAACUAAACUUUUUCCUUUCAGUCAGCAUUAGGAUUUUAAAACCCUAAACUGAACUCUUUCCUUUCAGUCAGCAUUAGGGUUUUAAACCCUAAAUUGAACUCUUUCCUGUAGUCAGUAUUAGGGUUUUAAACCCUAAACUGAACUUUUUGCUGACUAUUAGGGUUUUAAACCCUAAAUUGAACUCUUUCCUGUAGUCAGCAUUAGGGUUUUAAACCCUAAACUGAACUUUUUCCUUUCAGUCAGCAUUAGGGUUUUAAAACCCUAAACUGAACUCUUUCCAUCCAGCCAGCAUUAGGGUUUUAAACCCUAAACUAAACUCUUUCCUUUAGUCAGCAUUAGGGUUUUAAACCCUAAACUAAACUUUUUCCUUUCAGUCAGCAUUAGAGUUUUAAAACCCUAAACUAAACUCUUUCCUUUCAGUCAGCAUUAGGGUUUUAAACCCUAAACUGAACUUUUUCCUUUAAUCAGCAUUAGGGUUUUAAACCCUAAACUGAACUUUUUCCUUUAAUCAGCAUUAGGGUUUUAAACCAUAAACUUAACUUUU